UGACCCAGUGUGCAAGGAGACACCUAUUUGGAGGUGGUGUUCUUAUAAUAGUCAGGGGCAAAGCAGAUGUAUAGUCCUUAGUUCCUCCUAGCUUGUUGCCUGUCUUGGUGGCCAGAGCUGUUUCAUGUUUGGGGCACUGAA
Molecule: non-coding RNA, 141 nt
Organism: Myotis lucifugus (little brown bat)
Lineage: Eukaryota; Metazoa; Chordata; Mammalia; Chiroptera; Vespertilionidae
Source: Rfam